Long non-coding RNA from Heterocephalus glaber (naked mole-rat), 2280 nucleotides. NCBI's taxonomy places the organism in Eukaryota, Metazoa, Chordata, Mammalia, Rodentia, Bathyergidae. The record is from Ensembl.
CUGAGAAUUGGUGUCCAGAUGCUGGAAUACAGCAAUGUGAGGAAGAGAAGAAGGGAAGUGGGUCCCUGGGACCCAGCAAGGAUCUGAAGCUAGAAUUGAAGUCCACAGGGAGAGUGAAGACAGAGACCUCAACACAGAAGGAGGAGGUGGCAAACCGUGCUUUCUGCCUGAGCCCUGACUCACUGCAUGGGAGGGGCAGCUCAAACCUGGAGAUGCACAGUGACUACUGGUGACCCCAGAGACCUCCACGGAGGAACACACCAGUGGAACAGAUCAGUGGACACAGCAGACCAAAGAGGCUGUUUUUUUGUUGGGGUUGUUUUCUUCUUUUCUUGUUUUUAUUUUUUAUUUUUUUUGUUACUUGUUUUUAUUUUUUCUCUUACCCUUCUGUCUUCUUCACCAGUUUCCCAAAGUUUGCAUAAUCAUUCUUUGUCCUCCAGCCUUGCUUCUAAUCUCUUCCUCUUCUUCUACUGUAUUUUUUUCCUCUUAACCCCUUUUAAAAUUUCUCCCUUGAGGGUAAAAUCACCAUAUUGAGGGCACAUUUAUUGUAUAUAAUUUUCUGGCUUGUUUUAGAUUUUUUUAUAUAACCACAAAUAUAGUUCAUAUGGUUAAAAGUGGCAAAUUAAUAGUUAUCACAGUUUGUCAUUUUCUAAGCUGUGUUUCAUGCUAUUGCUAUUGCUGAUUGUACUACUUUAGCCAAGGUGACAUAACUGUUCUAAUCAGUUGUUCUUCCUGGUAUAUACCAAGACUGAGGUUGUUUGAGGGUCAUAAACAAUACUAUAGGUCAGUGCCAAAGAACCAGGGGCAGGACCAAAUAGGUAGCAACUUUUCAUCCCCAAUAAAUUGAAGAAAUACAAUCUUGCAAAAGACUCAAAACCCAAAAGCCAGCUAUACCUGGAAAACAUCUCUGAGAAGUAGUCAUUUCCUAAGAGUUCUAAAUACUAGAAAUAAAUCUACCUGCCAUAAGCAAUUUACAAACAUCAACCCAGGAAUUAUUUUUUUGUUCUGUUUUGUUUUGUUCCAGUACUGGGGAUCGAACUCAGGACCUUGUACUUUUGAGGCAGGCAUGACACCAUUGAGCUAAAUCUCCAACCCCCCAGGAAUUAAACUAAAAGAAAAUAGAAAAUGAGAAGACAUGGAAGCAAGAUGCAACCCCAGACUUCCAGGUCACCAAAGGCAGACCCCGGAGGGAAUUGACAUGGAACAAUUCAAAGACACCCACCUGGACUCUCUGAAGUGGUAACAGCAGAAGUAACAAAGCAGAUGAUUGAGGCUCUAGAAAAAAAAUCUAAUUCGAAAUUUCCGGGCCGGGGAUUUUGCUCAAUGGCACCAUGCCUGCCUUGCAUGUGCAAGGUCCUGAGUUUGAUCUCCGGUACCACAAAAAAAAAAAAAAAAAGAAUUUCUCAGAUAAUUACAGAGAUGGUGACUGUAAUGAAAGACAUGGUUAGUGAUUCUAGGGGAGAUACAGAUAAAAAAUAUAUAUAAGAGCUUAGGAAAAUGAUGGAAACCUUGAACACUCAACAUAGGAAAGAAAUGGAAUCCAUGAAACAAUUCAAACAGAUAUCCAGGAGAUUAAAAAUUCCAUUGAAUUUAUACGGAGCAGAAUGAACCAAUGUGAGGAUAGGAUAUCAGAUCUAGAAUCAGGACUGUGGUUAGCAAUCAUAAAAAGAAAGAUUACUUAAAAAUUGCAAGGGACCACGAAAAAUCAAUCCAACAGCUGCUAGAUGACGCAAAGACGAGUAAUAUAAGAUUGACCAGAGUCAAUAAAAAGCAGGAGAUAGCGCAAAUUGAAACCAAAAGUGUAAAUGAGGACCAAAAUAUAUAAUAGAUAUUGGGAAAUGGGAAGAAAAUGUUCAAAUGGGAAGAGGAAUAAGGGGGGGGGGGGGCAAGGAAGGGACAAGAAAAAAAAGAGAAUAGAAGGAAAAAUGUAAACAAAGCUUUUGUAAAUAAGGAGGGGAAGAGGAUUUGAAGGGAGGGGAGGGGAAUUGGAAAAAAAGCAGCAGCAAGACAUAUCAUGUACAGGUACAAAUUCCCUAUGAUGAAUGUGGUCAUUACGUAUAUCUAAAUUGUACCAAUAAAAAAAAAGAAUCAGUGAACCCAAGAGUUGGUUCUUUGAAUGAUUAAAUAAAAUUGACAAACCCUUAGCCAACCUUGUCAAAAAAAAGGAAAGGAAAGACUCAAAUCCAUGCAAUCAGGAAUAAAAAGGGGCUAGGUAUGGUGGCGGAUCCCUGUAAUCCCAGCAUUCAGGAGGCUGAGGCAGGAAGAUCUCCACAAGUUGGU